CAGUUGCCCGGAUGUGACCAUCUAGGGCAGGCAGUCUGUUCAGCCCAGAGUUCCUGCCUUUACCCCAGACUGGACUGGGUGAGGUGUGACUCUGGGUGAGCUAAUAUUGAAAUGCUUGUUGUGAAACAGUGGAAUAAGCCACUUCGUUGCCUUAAGUCCCUUACUUCAUUCCAUUUUCCACAGGAAAGGGGAUCAGGAGUCUGUAGUACAUGAGCUGUGACGUGCUUCCAACCAUCUCUCUUUUUCCAGUGUCUAAAACAAGACCUCCACUCUUGAUGGAUGUGGCCAAGAACAUGGGGCUGCUUCUCUCCUCCAGUCAGGAGAUCCUGUCAUGAGCAGAAGGCAACCAGCAUUUGUCAGCCCACAAUGCAGCUUUGAAUUACAGGUGGCUACGUCUGGCAGGCGUUGCCGCUAUGCUUACCUCUCCCUUCUUCCUACAGACUACCCCAAGCAUGGUAAGACCACUGGGACCCUGGUCACUCUUGCUCCGUUUGUCAUUGGACAAAAGUUCCAUCUGGGAAGAUGAAAGCAGAGAAGGCCAGAAGCUGCUGCUGCUGCUGCCUCACAGUAUCCUGCCCACAAAGCGAAGGGGAGCAUCCCGACUACCCUCUGUAUCUAGGCCUGUGGCUCAGACAUGUUGCCUAAGCAGAGAACAAAGAAAGAGCUGCUCAGCUCCCAGUCUUUACAGGCUAGGGUCACAACCAAAGAAACUCAUUUUGAGAUAGUGUGUGGGAAGUGCAAGAUUAAGGGUGCUCUCAGCAGAGGGGCCAUGUUGGGGGGGUGGAGGGACAGAUUUUUAUAAAAGGAUUUCAAAAAGCUAGGGCUGGGCCCGAUGCCCAUGUCACAAUCCCAGCACUCCACGCAGAGGCAGCUGGAUCCCUGGAAGCUCAAGGUCAGCUGGACUUACUUAGGGAAUUCUAGGAAAGCUAGAACUUCAUAGUGAGGCCUUGUCUCAGACAACCCAAAAGAGUCUGAUAGCUCCACUGAUAAAAGUAAAUAAUCAAAUGUA
This is a long non-coding RNA of Mus musculus (house mouse), 1009 nucleotides long. RefSeq annotates it as predicted gene, 35527. Lineage: Eukaryota; Metazoa; Chordata; Mammalia; Rodentia; Muridae. The transcript is spliced from 3 exons. The record is from RefSeq and is a predicted model, not a curated record.